GACGAACGCUGGCGGCACGCCUAACACAUGCAAGUCGAACGAGUGGAGAGAAGCUUGCUUCUCGAAGCUAGUGGCGGACGGGUGAGUAACACGUGAGCAAUCUACCUUUCAGAGGGGGAUACCAGUUAGAAAUGACUGUUAAUACCGCAUAACAUAGGUUCUUCGCAUGGAGAAGCUAUCAAAGAUUUAUCGCUGAGAGAUGAGCUCGCGUCUGAUUAGCUAGUUGGUAAGGUAAUGGCUUACCAAGGCAACGAUCAGUAGCCGGACUGAGAGGUUGAACGGCCACAUUGGGACUGAGACACGGCCCAGACUCCUACGGGAGGCAGCAGUGGGGAAUAUUGCACAAUGGAGGAAACUCUGAUGCAGCGAUGCCGCGUGAGGGAAGAAGGUUUUUGGAUUGUAAACCUCUGUCUACAGGGACGAUAAUGACGGUACCUGUGGAGGAAGCUCCGGCUAACUACGUGCCAGCAGC
Molecule: ribosomal RNA, 472 nt
Filed under: uncultured bacterium
Lineage: Bacteria
Description: bacterial SSU rRNA
Rfam family: Bacterial small subunit ribosomal RNA
Source: RNAcentral